AACGCAUCUUGCGCUCUUUGGUAUUCCGAAGAGCAUGCCUGUUUGAGUGUCAUGAAACUCUCACCUCCAGCCUUCUUUAAUUAGAGGUGUUGGGGCGUGGACGUGAGUGCUGCUGGUGCCCUGGUUGCAUCGGCUCACUUGAAAUAUGUUAGCUGACUCCUCUAGAGGUGGUUCUACUCGACGUGAUAAGAUCUCCGUCGAGGACAGUGCAACUUGUUGUGCUGGCCGCUCCUAGCAGUUGACGUCGCUUCUAAUUAGCGCAGACUUCGAGUGCUGGCAACUUUUGACAACUUGGCCUCAAAUCAGGUAGGACUACCCACUGAACUUAA
This 329-nucleotide unclassified non-coding RNA is filed under the name Icmadophila sp. RNAcentral describes it as "partial contains 5.8S ribosomal RNA, internal transcribed spacer 2, and large subunit ribosomal RNA". The stretch from base 1 to 52 matches the Rfam family "5.8S ribosomal RNA", at positions 103 to 154 of the family's 154-position model. RNAcentral also lists the same sequence under 2 other names. The record is from RNAcentral. Lineage: Eukaryota; Fungi; Ascomycota; Lecanoromycetes; Pertusariales; Icmadophilaceae.